Ancylostoma duodenale is the source of this 71-nucleotide non-coding RNA. NCBI's taxonomy places the organism in Eukaryota, Metazoa, Nematoda, Chromadorea, Rhabditida, Ancylostomatidae. The record is from Rfam.
GAAACGGUGGUUCAGCGGCAGCACGCUCGCCUGCCACGCGGACGGCACGGGUUCGAUUCCCGGCCGAUGCA